This is a long non-coding RNA of Empidonax traillii (willow flycatcher), 245 nucleotides long. RefSeq lists it as uncharacterized. NCBI's taxonomy places the organism in Eukaryota, Metazoa, Chordata, Aves, Passeriformes, Tyrannidae. The record is from RefSeq and is a predicted model, not a curated record. The transcript is spliced from 2 exons.
CAGCCGCCAGACCCCGCCCCCUCAAUUACAUCACUGAUCUACAAGAACAUGGAGCGCUGGAAACGGGUCCGGCAGCGGUGGCGGGAGGCAGCCCAGCGCCAGCAGCAGCGUUACGGGCCCAGCCUGCGCCUCCUGCGCAUCAUCUACGAGCGCCAGUGAGGCCACGCCCACCCCGAGGCCACGCCCACCCAUCGACCCCACCCCUUCCAUGUGGCCAUGCCCGCAAUAAAGGCUAUGUGUGUAUG